UACGGAGGGUGCAAGCGUUAUCCGGAUUUACUGGGUUUAAAGGGUGCGUAGGUGGGUUUGUAAGUCAGUGGUGAAAUCUCCGAGCUUAACUCGGAAACUGCCAUUGAUACUAUAGAUCUUGAAUUAUCUGGAGGUAAGCGGAAUAUGUCAUGUAGCGGUGAAAUGCUUAGAUAUGACAUAGAACACCAAUUGCGAAGGCAGCUUACUACGGAUAUAUUGACACUGAGGCACGAAAGCGUGGGGAUCAAACAGG
This 253-nucleotide ribosomal RNA is filed under the name uncultured bacterium. RNAcentral's name for it is "partial 16S ribosomal RNA". It matches the Rfam family "Bacterial small subunit ribosomal RNA", at positions 524 to 776 of the family's 1533-position model. RNAcentral also lists the same sequence under 1 other name. The record is from RNAcentral.